AGUCAUUUAAUUGAUGACUUGNAUGAAANAUUGGAUGAAGUGUAGACUGUCUNUUAAUUAUUAGNGNAAAAUUUAAUUUUUUAAUUAAAAAGUUAAAAUAAUUUAAAAAGACGAGAAGACCCNAUAGAGUUUUAUARAUAGAUUAAUUAAGAUUAUUUGAAAUUUAAAAUUGAAAUUAGNUUAUUUAUUANAUUGGGGGGAUAGAAAAANANACAUAACUUUUUUUUUUAURAAAACAUUUAUAAGUGAUUAAAUGAUCCNAUAUUAUUGAUUAUAAGAAAAAAUUACCUUAGGGAUAACAGCGUAAUUUUUUUUUUUAGUUCGUAUAAAAAAAAGAGUUUGCGACCUCGAUGUGGAUUAAGAAAAAUUUAAAUU
RNAcentral lists this ribosomal RNA (375 nucleotides) under Chilo partellus. RNAcentral's name for it is "partial 16S ribosomal RNA". Lineage: Eukaryota; Metazoa; Arthropoda; Insecta; Lepidoptera; Crambidae. The record is from RNAcentral.